Molecule: ribosomal RNA, 428 nt
Filed under: uncultured bacterium
Lineage: Bacteria
Description: bacterial SSU rRNA
Rfam family: Bacterial small subunit ribosomal RNA
Source: RNAcentral
UGGGGAAUAUUGGACAAUGGGCGCAAGCCUGAUCCAGCAAUGCCGCGUGUGUGAAGAAGGCCUGCGGGUUGUAAAGCACUUUCAGUGGGGAGGAGAGGCGCUAGGCUAAUAUCCUAGUGAAGAGACGUUACCCACAGAAGAAGCACCGGCUAACUCUGUGCCAGCAGCCGCGGUAAUACAGAGGGUGCAAGCGUUAAUCGGAAUUACUGGGCGUAAAGGGUGCGUAGGUGGUUUGAUAAGUUGUGUGUGAAAGUCCUGGGCUUAACCUGGGGAUUGCGCAUAAUACUGUUGAGCUAGAGUACUGUAGAGGAAGGUGGAAUUUCCAGUGUAGCGGUGAAAUGCGUAGAUAUUGGAAGGAACAUCAGUGGCGAAGGCGACUUUCUGGACAGAUACUGACACUGAGGCACGAAAGCAUGGGGAGCAAACAG